Molecule: long non-coding RNA, 699 nt
Organism: Silurus meridionalis
Lineage: Eukaryota; Metazoa; Chordata; Actinopteri; Siluriformes; Siluridae
Exons: 3
Source: RefSeq, a predicted model, not a curated record
GCUGUGACACCCCAGGAAGUGAUGCAGCUCACAGUUCGGCACAAACAGCUGUUUUUAGCUUGUGCUAACUGGACUUUGUUUACAAAAAAAAGAAAACAAACAAAAAUUCAAAAAAGUUGUUUUAUUUAAGAUUUGCACAAAGCAGUGAUAAAUAUUCUUGGUGCGGAGUAACAACAGAGACUUGGAAAUCUGCAUGGAGAUGAAAAAUCUGAGCCUAUUUUACAUCUACUGUUUCUGAAGCAGACCCCUUCAACCUUGCAACAGCAGACACCCUGGCAAACACAGAACACAGUAAACAGAUUACUAUCUUAAAGGACCAAUCUUAUCCUAAGAAACAGUGUUCAAAGAACAAGUAAAAGAGUAAAAAAAAGAAAAAGUAAGGCUGCCUGAUAGACAUUUUUGUCAUAAGAAAUUCUUUAAAAUUAUAAACUGAGUAUUUCUUUUGGUUAUGUUUUUAAGUAUGUACUGUAACUUACAACAACCAAAACAGUUCUUGAACAAAAAGAAAAUAUGACAAAGGUUUAUAUUGAUAAUUUGUAUAUUGUAAAUCAGUCACACUGUUCAGUAGAAUAUACAAAAACCUUUCAGUGCUAACACACACCUCUUAUAAUGUCAAGAGUAAACCCUGUAAAUUAAGAAUUUGUUUUGUUUUUAUUAACAAUAUUUGUGUUUAAUUUGUGAAAAUGUCCAAUGCCCUUA